This is a long non-coding RNA of Daphnia magna, 509 nucleotides long. RefSeq lists it as uncharacterized. The record is from RefSeq and is a predicted model, not a curated record. NCBI's taxonomy places the organism in Eukaryota, Metazoa, Arthropoda, Branchiopoda, Diplostraca, Daphniidae. The transcript has 2 exons.
GACUGAGGUUCACGGACCAUCCAACCAAAGACAACAUCCUCUGGCAGACCAAUAGGACUUUCACACUGGGAAUACCAUAAUAUCAACAUAAGAUUCACUUGUCUUUUACAAUAUUCAACACAACAAAUGGAACUCACAAGCAGGUGCUUCAUUGACCAAGUGAGCUAAACUUGCAAUGGAUUUAAGCAUCAGAGCUAGACUACGCCUUUGAAUACAGCUGUUGUGGUCUGAAAUAAGUUGCAAAAGUCUCCUAUAUUUUUCCCCUAAUGUACUUUCUCCACACAGUAUUGUGAAAAAAACCAAGAAUUCUAGGAGAGUGCAUCCUUUUCUUCUACAGGAUCUGAAAAUUAAAUUAAGAAUUUACCUAAGUUAUCAUUCUUCCCUUUUUAAAAUGUUACCCACCUGUCAAAAGUUUCACCAAUUAAGUCCAAAACAAUACUGGAUGAAAGUUUGUAGUCCAGGUGAACCAGCUGUGAUUUCUGUGCUUGUAAAUAAAUGUUGAAAACCAA